CAGUAGCCGCGGUAAUACGAAGGGUGCAAGCGUUACUCGGAAUUACCGGGCGUAAAGCGUGCGUAGGUGGUGGUUUAAGUCCGUUGUGAAAGCCCUGGGCUCAACCUGGGAAUUGCAGUGGAUACUGGAUCACUAGAGUGUGGUAGAGGAUAGUGGAAUUUCCGGUGUAGCAGUGAAAUGCGUAGAGAUCGGGAGGAACAUCAGUGGCGAAGGCGGCCAUCUGGGACAACACUGACGCUGAGGCACGAAAGCGUGGGGAGCAAACAGGAUUAGAUACCCCCGUAGUCCCUGUCUCUUAUAC
This 301-nucleotide ribosomal RNA is filed under the name uncultured bacterium. RNAcentral describes it as "partial 16S ribosomal RNA". It matches the Rfam family "Bacterial small subunit ribosomal RNA", at positions 509 to 807 of the family's 1533-position model. The record is from RNAcentral.